Non-coding RNA from Vicugna pacos (alpaca), 2636 nucleotides. The record is from RefSeq and is a predicted model, not a curated record. Lineage: Eukaryota; Metazoa; Chordata; Mammalia; Artiodactyla; Camelidae.
UGUGCUCUUCUGAUCAAUUUAGGCAUAAAAAGCAAUGGCAAAUCUGAAUCAUCAAGAAAGAAAGGGGCUGAGAGUUCCCAAGUACGGGAGGGACACCUUGAGAAGUUAAAGCAUAUCGUUCAAGGUCAGCUAGAAUAAAGUAAGACAGGUGAAGAGGUUUAUCAUAGCUUGCGUAAUUUUUAAUCUAGAAAAAUUUCAGUGACUUAUAAAAAUACAUUUUCCGUGUAUUAUAAACUGUGGAAUAAAGUAUUUUCCUCUUUCAAAAAGAAGCCAUAUUGCAUAGGGGAAAAAAAAGGGAGUUCCAGCUUUGGAAGAAAGAGAAGAGGCCCAGAUUUGAAAUUUAUUAGAUGUGUUAUGUAGUCUCUCAGCUUUGUUUCAAAAUCUGGAAAAUGAGUUUAGUUUUACCUGGUUAAGUUUGUUAAUAACGUGUUGGUGUUCAGGCAGGAUUUCCUGCUAUCUUACUUAUAGGAGCCCAGUAGAGCCCUAAAAAUUCCAUCUCUCCUUCUCCCUUAACAGUUUCACUUCUACCUAAUUACAGAAUUUAAGCAUCCAUGCAGGGUUUGAAAAACUGGCUUCAGUGAUAGCAAAAAGCUUGAAAACCACAGAAAUAAUGUAUGUAAGCCAGAAAUUAUCAUGCCCUUUUAAAUUAUAGCUUCCAUUAUGGGAUAAUACAUGCUAAAUCUAUUAAACUCUAUAAACAUGAGCCUCCUGGUACUAAAUCGUAACCUCUCAGGUCACCUGGACAAAAUGUCUUACAGGGGAGCACCUCUCAUGUGGAACUGAGCCCUGGUGCAGGCAUUGCUACAACCUGAGGUUUUCCAAUCACUUAAGUUUCUUUUGCUUUGGUUGUCGUUUCUGCCACUAAAUUAGGUUAUUGUAGAACUGGGCGGUGAGAACAACUAGAAAGACUAUUACGUGCAAAAGUACAAGAGAGGUAAUGUGAAAAUACCAAAAAAAGAAAAAAAAAUCUUUGGCAUCAUUCAAGCUGGGAAUGAAUUAUCAAGACCUUCAAAAAGACAAAAGAACUUGGAGCAAAUGAUGGUGUUUAAUUUGAUCAAGACAGUAUAAGCGUUCUUAAAAAGAAAAUUUGCACACUAUCUGGAAGCCAUAAGUUUACAGAGACCUCAUUUACACCUCUACUGACAGGCUAGUAACGGAUUAUCAUGAAUAGUUUGGGAGUUGGGAAUACAUUUUUAAAGUAUACAGAUGCUAAGGUGAAAUUUGCACAUUAAAGAUUUACAUUUCAUGCAUAUAACAACUUGCAGAAAGAACGACCUUCUAAUGUUCUUAUAUUCCGCUAUAUAGAAUUCUCCUUUGAAAAUAUUCUGUAUUUCAACAUAAUUCUGUGAAUUUCAUGAAAAUGACACAACAAAGUUGAACUCAGCAAGCUUGCAGCUUAUAGAGUUAAUUAAUGAGGAGUGUCACAGGAUUUACAAAUAAUCCAAUCCAUCAAAGUACGGUGAUAAUAAUAUCACUGUUGACUACAUCGGAUUGAGAUUAAUCAAGCAUUGGCGUCUUGGGCUCUGGGAAAAAUAUUAAGUACUAGAGCGUUCUAUCAUUACAGUAGUGUGAAUGCUGAUGAAAGAACUGGUGGUUAGAAUCCUCUUGUGGAAUUAAAUAUGUCAAAACAACUUAUACACAGUGGAGCUUACUUUGCAUAAAAGCCAAAAAACUUGAAAAACUUAAAAGACAAACAGUCAUAGCAUGAAACUACAGUAGUACAAGUGGAAUAGUUUAAAACAUUACUAGAAAACUAUUUGAAUGUUUUUAGGCCAGCCAAUUUGAAUGGCUGUAUCCAGGGUGAUAUUCAAAAUAUUGAACAGACAGCUUGGCAGGCACUGAUCAGCCCAACAGACACGCUGUGUGGUACAUCUCAGUCCAGCGUAAGCAUGCACACAGUGCCAAAUUGUGGGGGGUGGGGAGGCUCAAGAGCAAGUAAGUACACCCCAGUAUGCAAAGGUCCCAGGGUACCAUUCCUAAUACUCCUGACCUGGGGGCAUUUAUUUACCUUUGUAAAAGUAACCAAGGUGAUACUGAUAAACAGGAGUUUGGGAACCACUGGAUUAGAUGCCCUGUUUCAACUCAACCCAGAAUGAAUGGCCAAGUGAAUAAAUUCUCCUGCAAGUAAAGAUUUCUCUCAUCAAUCGGCUUCAAGUGAGCUGAGUUGCAUAAGGCCAAAUGGAUACCCUACAAUAAGAAUUAUCCCAGUGCAAACAGCAAUUCAUAGGUAUGAUGUAGUCAAAUUCAUUCAAAUCAAUUGCUUGUUUAUAGUUCAAGUACUUUAGAAAUUGACAGUGAAGUAGGGACAUGGCUCCUCGCAGGUGCUCUGAAAACCAGCUUCAUUUUAAUGUGUCUCUAGUAGUUACUGUUGUUAGAGUUGAUGUGGCUUUGCCAGGAUGCCAAGCCCGCAAUAGGUUUCACACUUUGAACUAGCUUUCAACUUUAUCUAAGACAUGUGAUGAGUUGUCUGAAGGCAGGUGUAGGACAGGCUCACUGAGAUAUCUACACAUGCACACACUGACAUUCCUAUUAGCAAAAUUCAGAAACGGAUCCGAAAUCGUGGAGGAAAUUUUUCUUUGGUUGAUUUUGUUUUUGUGUGUUGCCAGUUAACACUGAACUGGAUGGACCACAUCCAA